AGGGUAGCUCAGUGGUAGAGCAUCUGCUUUGCAUACAGAAGGUCCCGAGUUCAGUCCCUAGCAUCUCUG
Molecule: non-coding RNA, 69 nt
Organism: Podarcis lilfordi (Lilford's wall lizard)
Lineage: Eukaryota; Metazoa; Chordata; Lepidosauria; Squamata; Lacertidae
Source: the annotation of a GenBank genome assembly